AUGCUCGCAGGAGAGGAGCCCAACAAGCAACGGCAGCAAGGGAGCCUACACAUCAGCGACCUGGGCAACAGCGUUUGCAACCUCCUGGGCGGCCUUCUUCUUGUUCUUCUACGCCUUCUUCUGGGUGAUAUCCUUGGCGUGCGCUACCAGUCCAGCAAUAGCCUGGACCACGGGGGCCGCGAGCGGGGUGUUGAACAAGUCAAGGUAGGCCUGCUUAGCCUUGUCGUCGUAUCCAACAGACGGGUCCAGUACACCACAGACCUUGGCAAUGAGCUCCUGGACCGCCUCUGUAGCAACCCCGGGCGGGGCUUUUGCCUUCUUCUUGUCGAGCCGGGCGCUACGACGAGCGGGCGCGACCGGCACGCCCCCCUUGCCCCUACGGGUGGCCGGAGUAGACAGCAACGGGGCGGGCGGCUCCCCGGCGAGGAAAGACUCCAGGGGGUUCCCAAUCGGAGGCACGUCCGUAGCAUCUGCCGGGGCAACAAUGACGACGGGUUCAGGGCAGGCAUCUGCCGGCAGCGUGAGAGCUCCGAUCGGGUCGGUGGCGUCCGCCCCAGGCUCGAUGACGACGGUGGGGGGGGGGGACGCGGCGACGAGGAUCUCCGCCGGGCCACUCCCAGCUGCAAUGACCGAGUGGACAGCGACCGGCUCAGGCCUGAUCACGAGGGCGGCGGAGAGAGGCGCAGCGACAAGAAGCCCGACAGGGUCACCCCUAGCGUCGCACAUCGCGCGGCCAGCGUCGACAGGCCGGGCCAGAGGCGAAGCAUCACCGGUCGGUGGCGAAUAAGGGGCGGACCAGGCUUCAACCCCCGGCGUGUCGAGGCUCCGCACGUCCGGGGACAGGGCGAGUCCCGCAAAGCAGGCCGACAGCGUAGGCAGGGCGGCCACCGCCGAACCCGCCUCCACCACGCCAACAGCCGCGCCAGCCAGCAAGGAUGGGCUGGCCGGGCCGCCAGCGGUCGAACCGAGCUUGACAAAGGCACCCUCCACCCUUUCAGCAAGGCCGGCCAGCCGCCGACGCAUGGCAGAGAAUUCCGAGCGCAGCGGAGCGAGCGCGGUGUCGAUAGCCGCCGACAGCUCGGACCGAAGUAG
RNAcentral lists this ribosomal RNA (1092 nucleotides) under Triticum aestivum (bread wheat). Its description in RNAcentral is "partial small subunit ribosomal RNA". Lineage: Eukaryota; Viridiplantae; Streptophyta; Magnoliopsida; Poales; Poaceae. The record is from RNAcentral.